GGCUCAGGACGAACGCUGGCGGCGUGCUUAACACAUGCAAGUCGAGCGGUAAGGCUCCUUCGGGGGUACACGAGCGGCGAACGGGUGAGUAACACGUGAGUAAUCUGCCCUCCACUUCGGGAUAAGCCUCGGAAACGGGGUCUAAUACCGGAUACGACACUCCUUCGCAUGAGGUGGGUGUGGAAAGUUUUUCGGUGGGGGAUGUGCUCGCGGCCUAUCAGCUUGUUGGUGGGGUAAUGGCCUACCAAGGCUUCGACGGGUAGCCGGCCUGAGAGGGUGACCGGCCACACUGGGACUGAGACACGGCCCAGACUCCUACGGGAGGCAGCAGUGGGGAAUAUUGGACAAUGGGCGGAAGCCUGAUCCAGCAACGCCGCGUGAGGGAUGACGGCCUUCGGGUUGUAAACCUC
This 410-nucleotide ribosomal RNA is filed under the name Nocardioides deserti. RNAcentral describes it as "bacterial SSU rRNA". It matches the Rfam family "Bacterial small subunit ribosomal RNA", at positions 21 to 433 of the family's 1533-position model. The record is from RNAcentral. Lineage: Bacteria; Bacillati; Actinomycetota; Actinomycetes; Propionibacteriales; Nocardioidaceae.